This 86-nucleotide microRNA precursor is filed under the name Solanum tuberosum (potato). RNAcentral's name for it is "MIR8024 microRNA precursor family". It matches the Rfam family "MIR8024 microRNA precursor family". The record is from Rfam by way of RNAcentral. Lineage: Eukaryota; Viridiplantae; Streptophyta; Magnoliopsida; Solanales; Solanaceae.
UUGAAGAAUUUGAAGACUUCAACUUGCAUACUUGGAGGAUUUGAAAACUCCAACUUGCAUAUUUGGAGGAUUUGAAGACUUCAACU